RNAcentral lists this ribosomal RNA (468 nucleotides) under uncultured bacterium. Its description in RNAcentral is "partial 16S ribosomal RNA". It matches the Rfam family "Bacterial small subunit ribosomal RNA", at positions 28 to 507 of the family's 1533-position model. The record is from RNAcentral.
GACGAACGCUGGCGGCGUGCUUAACACAUGCAAGUCGAACGGAAAGGCCCUGCUUUUGUGGGGUGCUCGAGUGGCGAACGGGUGAGUAACACGUGAGUAACCUGCCCUUGACUUUGGGAUAACUUCAGGAAACUGGGGCUAAUACCGGAUAGGAGCUCCUGCUGCAUGGUGGGGGUUGGAAAGUUUCGGCGGUUGGGGAUGGACUCGCAGCUUAUCAGCUUGCUGGUGGGGUAGUGGCUUACCAAGGCUUUGACGGGUAGCCGGCCUGAGAGGGUGACCGGCCACAUUGGGACUGAGAUACGGCCCAGACUCCUACGGGAGGCAGCAGUGGGGAAUAUUGCACAAUGGGCGGAAGCCUGAUGCAGCAACGCCGCGUGCGGGAUGACGGCCUUCGGGUUGUAAACCGCUUUCGCCUGUGACGAAGCGUGAGUGACGGUAAUGGGUAAAGAAGCACCGGCUAACUACGUG